RNAcentral lists this ribosomal RNA (460 nucleotides) under uncultured bacterium. Its description in RNAcentral is "partial 16S ribosomal RNA". It matches the Rfam family "Bacterial small subunit ribosomal RNA", at positions 338 to 795 of the family's 1533-position model. The record is from RNAcentral.
CCUACGGGAGGCAGCAGUGAGGAAUAUUGGUCAAUGGACGAGAGUCUGAACCAGCCAAGUAGCGUGAAGGAUGACUGCCCUAUGGGUUGUAAACUUCUUUUAUAAAGGAAUAAAACGAGGCAAGUGUGCCUUUUGGCAUGUACUUUAUGAAUAAGGAUCGGCUAACUCCGUGCCAGCAGCCGCGGUAAUACGGAGGAUCCGAGCGUUAUCCGGAUUUUUUGGGUUUAAAGGGAGCGUAGAUGGGUUGUUAAGUCAGUUGUGAAGGGUUGCGGCUCAACCGUAAAAUUGCAAUUGGUACUGGCAGUCUUGAGUACAGUUGAGGUAGGCGGAAUUCGUGGUGUAGCGGUGAAAUGCUUAGAUAUCACGAAGAACCCCGAUUGCGAAGGCAGCUUACUAAACUGUGACUGACAUUGAUGCUCGAAAGUGUGGGUAUCAAACAGGAUUAGAUACCCUGGUAGUC